RNAcentral lists this long non-coding RNA (567 nucleotides) under Vitis vinifera (wine grape). RNAcentral's name for it is "long non-coding RNA (VVIN_LNC004793)". Lineage: Eukaryota; Viridiplantae; Streptophyta; Magnoliopsida; Vitales; Vitaceae. The record is from RNAcentral.
AAGUGUACAAAUAUGGGAACUGUUUGAUCAUGGGGAUCCUUUGUUUGUUGAAGAAGAAGCUGGUGGAAUUCUAGGAAAGCGAUGUGGAGGUGGGAAAGGGAAUGGAGGGAGUGGAAAUGGGAAAGCUGGUGGUGGGGGUGAGGGAGUCAAGCCUGGUAUGGGUGGGAGGUUAAUCAAUGGAGGUGGAGACUGAAAGGGGUUGGGAGGAAGGAGGGGAGGAGGCUGAAAUGGGUUGGGGGGCAAUGGAACAAUGGAGGCAGGAGGAGGCGAUGGUAUGAGUGGAGGGAAGAAAAACUCAGGAUGGGCUGGUUUUUGAUUCAGCAGUUGAGGUGCAUUCAUGGAGGAUUGAGGUAGUUUGGACUGGGGUUUAGGUGGAAACUUUGGUAGGCCAGGGAGGGGUGGGAGUGGUGGAAGCGUGGGAAGUAGAGGAAGCGGUGGGAAAUAGUACUGAUUUGUGGGUGGAAGGUCUGGGGUUUGAAUUGGUGGUGGGAAUUGGAUUGGAUCAUUAGGAGGAUAUAAAGAUUUUAUGGAACCCAGUUGCUUUGAGUUUCCCACGCUUGGUUUCUG